AAUCAAUGAACUUGUUAAAGUAUAUAUUUUGAAAAUAUAACAAAGAAUUAAUCUUCUAUUGAUUU
This 65-nucleotide transfer RNA is filed under the name Cucujoidea sp. 14 KM-2017. Its description in RNAcentral is "tRNA-Ser". The record is from RNAcentral. Lineage: Eukaryota; Metazoa; Arthropoda; Insecta; Coleoptera.